GAUGAACGCUGGCGGCGUGCCUAAUACAUGCAAGUCGAGCGAACGGACGAGAAGCUUGCUUCUCUGAUGUUAGCGGCGGACGGGUGAGUAACACGUGGAUAACCUACCUAUAAGACUGGGAUAACUUCGGGAAACCGGAGCUAAUACCGGAUAAUAUUUUGAACCGCAUGGUUCAAAAGUGAAAGACGGUCUUGCUGUCACUUAUAGAUGGAUCCGCGCUGCAUUAGCUAGUUGGUAAGGUAACGGCUUACCAAGGCAACGAUGCAUAGCCGACCUGAGAGGGUGAUCGGCCACACUGGAACUGAGACACGGUCCAGACUCCUACGGGAGGCAGCAGUAGGGAAUCUUCCACAAUGGGCGAAAGCCUGACGGAGCAACGCCGCGUGAGUGAUGAAGGUCUUCGGAUCGUAAACCUCUGUUAUUAGGGAAGAACAUAUGUGUAAGUAACUGUGCACAUCUUGACGGUACCUAAACAGAAAGCCACGGCUAACUACGUG
Molecule: ribosomal RNA, 497 nt
Filed under: uncultured bacterium
Lineage: Bacteria
Description: partial 16S ribosomal RNA
Rfam family: Bacterial small subunit ribosomal RNA
Source: RNAcentral